AACGUUUCGCAACUGCAGAUCAAGUCCCACAAAGCACGACACCGCUGGAUAGCAAUCUGAGAGGAGUCUGGCCGUAAACACGGAUUCUCUGUCUCAGUCUGCAGUAUAAGGAGUUGUCUUCAAGCUAUUUAAUAGGAGAUGUUUUAGUGCUGGUAGUUAAGUGUUGGAGAGUUAUGGGUUUGCAAAGAGGUGUUGCAUGAGAACGGAAAAACGUCGUGGCCGCGGAAAGCAGAGCAGCGUGGACGAGACUGACAGAAAGCAGAGACUUCUGGAACUGAGAAAUACGCCUGACAAGACCUUCAAAAUAAAUUUAUUGACAUCUUUGUCCAGAGUGAUAAGCCCAUGGACUUGUUCUACAAAUAUAGGAAUCACAAGGUGAUUGUUGAAAGAGUAACAUGGAGCAGCCGGGGUUUGAACCGCCAACCUUGCGGUUCCCGGCGCACUCUACUGCGUCGCAUAGUCCACAGCCACAAAGUUACCGCUUACUUUAUUACCAUCGCACACACAUCUAUCUAAAAUGGACCCUUCAUAACAUUAUGCCAGACUUAAAUUAUACAACAGAAUGAAUGC
Molecule: long non-coding RNA, 570 nt
Organism: Gasterosteus aculeatus aculeatus (three-spined stickleback)
Lineage: Eukaryota; Metazoa; Chordata; Actinopteri; Perciformes; Gasterosteidae
Source: Ensembl